AGAGCGAACGCUGGCGGCAGGCCUAACACAUGCAAGUCGAGCGCCCGUAGCAAUACGGGAGCGGCAGACGGGAUAGUAACACGUGGGAACGCGCCCUUCGGUUCGGAAUAACUCAGGGAAACUUGAGCUAAUACCGGAUACGCCCUUACGGGGAAAGAUUUAUUGCCGAAGGAACGGCCCGCGUCCGAUUAGCUAGUUGGUGAGGUAAUGGCUCACCAAGGCGACGAUCGGUAGCUGGUCUGAGAGGAUGACCAGCAUCACUGGGACUGAGACACGGCCCAGACUCCUACGGGAGGCAGCAGUGGGGAAUAUUGGACAAUGGGCGCAAGCCUGAUCCAGCCAUGCCGCGUGGAUGAUGAAGGCCUUAGGGUUGUAAAGUCCUUUUAACGGGGAAGAUAAGUGACGGUACCCGUAGAAUAAGCCCCGGCUAACUUCGUGCCAGCAGCCGC
Molecule: ribosomal RNA, 449 nt
Filed under: uncultured bacterium
Lineage: Bacteria
Description: SSU rRNA
Rfam family: Bacterial small subunit ribosomal RNA
Source: RNAcentral